UCUAAUUCUCUGAAACUAUCUCUAAAUCCUAACCUCCUUCCCCGCCUUCAUCAAAUUUUCCCCCAAACCCUUCACCCCACCACAAUCUUCUCUUGCUUGGCUUCGUGUUCGUCUUCUCCUGCUCUCCAUCGUGUUCGUCUUCUCCUGCUUGGUUGAGCGUGGAGUUGAAGGCGUCGAGGCGUCGAGCCAUCUGUGGAUUGAGCGAGUUCGAGGUGCUCUGGCGCACUCCCACACUGACCGUCAAGCUCCCCAGCUCUCUAUUGCUUGCCCCCAGAAAAGCCAGAACAAAUAUAUGUUCCUCAGAGAAACGCUGCUUGGAACCAAAGAAGGUGAACCCAGAUGCUUCGUUGUACGCAGUGUUUUGAAGGAUGCUCAAAACCAUACCCUCAUCUGAAGUCCAGAUACAUUGUUGUGUUUGAUCCUUUGGAUGGAUCCUCAAACAUUGACUGCGAAGUUUCUAUUUGAACUAUCUUUGGAAUUUAUAUGGUAAAGAAUGAGGUUAAAGUAAGUGUUGAAGAUGCAAUGCAACCUGGAAACCAAAUGCUAGCAGCAGGUUACUGCAUGUAUGAAAGCUCUUGCACGGUAAAACAGACAAAAUCUGUGAAACUAACAUAUUUCCUUUUCACAAUGAAUUUCAAGGUUGUCCUGUUUUUCUUAUACUAACAUAAUUGGAAGUUCCCUAUUUUUCUAGUCACGAAUAUAUGUGAUUGGUAUUGAUGAAGCACAAUUCUUCGAUGACCUUUAUGAAUUCUGCCGUAAAGCUGCUGAUGAUGAUGGAAAAACAAUAAUAGUUUCAGGAUUAGAUGGGAACACAUGAGGUAAUACUAUAUAGAUUUAAAAUGCCCCUUCUGUUUGGUGGGGUUGAA
Molecule: long non-coding RNA, 866 nt
Organism: Vigna angularis (adzuki bean)
Lineage: Eukaryota; Viridiplantae; Streptophyta; Magnoliopsida; Fabales; Fabaceae
Exons: 5
Source: RefSeq, a predicted model, not a curated record